Sapajus apella (tufted capuchin) is the source of this 1634-nucleotide long non-coding RNA. RefSeq lists it as uncharacterized. The record is from RefSeq and is a predicted model, not a curated record. The transcript has 4 exons. Lineage: Eukaryota; Metazoa; Chordata; Mammalia; Primates; Cebidae.
GGUACGUUAGUGACGUAGGUUAAUAGAGUAGCUUUGGGUGGUCAGCUAGUGGAGUAUUGGUAGAGUAGGUUUGGGUAGUUGGUUAGCGGAGUAAGUUAGAAGGGUAGGUUUGGGUAGUUGGUUAGUAGUGUAGCUUUGGGUGGUUGUUUAGUGGAGUAGGUUAGUAGAGCAGGUUUGGGUAGUUGAUUAGUAGAAUGGCUUUGGGUGAUUGGUUAGUGGGGCAGGUUAGUAGAGUAGGUUUGGAUAGUAGGUUAGUGGAGUUAGCAGGGCAGGUUUUGGUAGUUGGUUAGUCCAGUAGCUUUGGGUGGUCAGUUAGUGGAGUAGGUUAGUAGGGUAGGUUUGGGUAGUUGGUUAGUACAGAAGCUUUGGGUGGUCAGUUAGUGGAGUAGGUUAGUAGGGUAGGUUAAUAGAGGACGUCAGUGCUGCAGGUCAGUGGAGCAGUCCAUGUGGUUCCAGGCUCAGGAUCAGCUAUUUAGUGAUUCUGUCUGCAUUUAUUAGAAGACCUUCUAUAAGUAAGCACUUUCCCACAUCAACAAUUUGGUGACCUGAUUCUUUGCAUCUAUUAGGUAAAUGAGGUGAGUGUAUUGUAGCAAGUUUUUCUUUUGUCAGUAGGAGUUCACAAAGAUUCAGGGGUGUGUGAAGUCUUUUCCGUUUGUGUGUGGACCCAUUGUUUCCUGGUUGUGUGGUUGCCAGUCAGGAAAAGCUGCUGAGCCCAGUUGAAUCAGACAGCCCAGGGCGAGAGGCAUUUGGACUGAUGUGCAGAACUGAGAACAAAGAGGCCUUGAAUAGUGGAUGGACAGCUGUGGGAUCCCGCGCCCGUCAGACUUCGCCCCGGCCAGUUUAGGCAUUCAUCUAUUGUUAGGGGGAGGCCAAAAUUUCACCAGCCAAGCACGCUUCUCAGGAGUGGCAUCAGCCAAGAGGUUGGUCAGGCACUUUCUCAUGGCCGGCGUUUCCAGACUUCAGAUCAGGGGUGGCCUUGGCACUUUAAGGUCGAUGGCGGUGUCACAUCAGCUGUGCCUUCCCAUCAGUACACGGACCUUAGCCAAGUUAAAAUUGGGGAGUACUGAGCAUGGCAGUGAUCACACUUACCGAGGGGCUGUCGAGAGUGGGCCAGGCAGGGUUUGGGGACGUGGGGCUGGAUGGGGCGAGGCUGGCCUCCACCCCUUCUUUGUCUGGCCCUGUGGGGCUGUGUGACUUUAUGCCCCUGGACCCACUUCUCUGAACCUGUCCAUGUGGCGUGACAUGAAGGAGUGGAAGUGGACGUCCUCUCACGUUUUUCAGCCCCUUGUGUUUGUCCUUGGAGUCAACAGGAGUGUCUCACCAGGGCAUAAGGCCCCAGGCAGGACUGUCCUCCUCGCUGUGGGCCCCACCGUGUGAAUGGAGGUGCCCGUCUCUUUCUCAGGGGCCCCAUGGCAGCCCCUCACCCUAGGUAGAAGGUGUCCCCAUGCCCAGCCUGUCAGCUGCCUUCCACACUGGUCUGUCUUAACCUCCGGCUUCCCACUCUCUGGUCACCUCUUAUUUCAUCCGGUCAUUGCUGCAGUCCUGGGGGGAAGGCUGUGUGGCCGCCCUGUUUUUUCCUUUUCUUGAGAUGGAGUUUUGUUCUGUCGCCUAGGCUGGAGAGCAAUGGCGCUAUC